This 497-nucleotide ribosomal RNA is filed under the name uncultured bacterium. RNAcentral describes it as "partial 16S ribosomal RNA". It matches the Rfam family "Bacterial small subunit ribosomal RNA", at positions 28 to 507 of the family's 1533-position model. The record is from RNAcentral.
GACGAACGCUGGCGGCGUGCCUAAUACAUGCAAGUUGAGCGCUGAAGGUUGGUACUUGUACCAACUGGAUGAGCAGCGAACGGGUGAGUAACGCGUGGGGAAUCUGCCUUUGAGCGGGGGACAACAUUUGGAAACGAAUGCUAAUACCGCAUAAAAACUUUAAACACAAGUUUUAAGUUUGAAAGAUGCAAUUGCAUCACUCAAAGAUGAUCCCGCGUUGUAUUAGCUAGUUGGUGAGGUAAAGGCUCACCAAGGCGAUGAUACAUAGCCGACCUGAGAGGGUGAUCGGCCACAUUGGGACUGAGACACGGCCCAAACUCCUACGGGAGGCAGCAGUAGGGAAUCUUCGGCAAUGGACGAAAGUCUGACCGAGAAACGCCGCAUGAGUGAAGAAGGUUUUCGGAUCGUAAAACUCUGUUGGUAGAGAAGAACGUUGGUGAGAGUGGAAAGCUCAUCAAGUGACGGUAACUACCCAGAAAGGGACGGCUAACUACGUG